UCCACUCGGUCCAACCAAGGCAACAGUUUUUCCUGAUUCAAUUGAUAAGUUGAUUCCAUUUAUUACAUUUACUGUUUUCCGAGUCGGAUAUGCAAAUUCAACUACUUCAAACUCAAUUUUUCCUUGAAUUUCUGGAGUUUCAGUCCCAA
Non-coding RNA from Caenorhabditis elegans, 149 nucleotides. NCBI's taxonomy places the organism in Eukaryota, Metazoa, Nematoda, Chromadorea, Rhabditida, Rhabditidae. The record is from Ensembl.